AAACCGGCAGAAAAAUAGAGAAUCAAACGAGCGCGAGACUGAGAGCACAGCUCCAUUCAAUUUUGGGCUGAUGUCAGAAAUGUUUGCCCGUUGUUGGGCUUUCAACGCCUGCGCAAAAGUCAAGCAGGACAAGCGGUACAAGCGUCAUAAAUUGAACUAUAACAUGCCAAACAAUACCGGCACCAACGAGAACAACAUUGGGAACAACACGAACACUUUUGUCAUGCAUUUGCGGCACACCCAACAAACAAUUUAGUAAACACACAUAGAUACAUACAUGCGAGUAGAGAUAUGCAUCAGCGAGGGGUUCAUGGAGCGUGGACCGUGCUCUGUCUGGCUCUGCGACUGGGGCCUAUCUAUGCUAAACAGCUUGCAGUCGCCUCUAACUUAUUCGAUUUCACACGCAAAGUGGAGUAUGUAAGCGGAGCAACAGCAAGGUGAUCUGGAAUGAAACCCCACCUCGAUAGGCAAGUCUCUCUCCCUCUCCUCCUCUGGCCAAUAUCGCGAUCGCUUAGUCAUCACCAGGUCCAGCUCCAGCCCCAGCUGAGUUUAAUGGAUCCGCUCCCAUAUGCUGAAAGCACAAGUUAAGAGAUACUCGUAUAAAGAACAAAUUGGAAACACACACACCUUGGAAUCUGGCCAAUUCUGAAGCAGCCAUAAAUGAUUCAAUCAUCAAUUGGUGAGUGGGGAUACGACCAGUACGAGUAAGAGUACGAGUAUUCAUGCAAACGCAUUCACCAUUAUAAUGAAAUGCAAAUGUAUCAAUUAAAUUGUGCUCUAUUUU
This is a long non-coding RNA of Drosophila miranda, 784 nucleotides long. RefSeq lists it as uncharacterized. The transcript has 3 exons. The record is from RefSeq and is a predicted model, not a curated record. NCBI's taxonomy places the organism in Eukaryota, Metazoa, Arthropoda, Insecta, Diptera, Drosophilidae.